This 1449-nucleotide ribosomal RNA is filed under the name Escherichia coli. RNAcentral's name for it is "partial 23S ribosomal RNA". It matches the Rfam family "Bacterial large subunit ribosomal RNA", at positions 911 to 2342 of the family's 2925-position model. The record is from RNAcentral. Lineage: Bacteria; Pseudomonadati; Pseudomonadota; Gammaproteobacteria; Enterobacterales; Enterobacteriaceae.
UGUUUCGGCAAGGGGGUCAUCCCGACUUACCAACCCGAUGCAAACUGCGAAUACCGGAGAAUGUUAUCACGGGAGACACACGGCGGGUGCUAACGUCCGUCGUGAAGAGGGAAACAACCCAGACCGCCAGCUAAGGUCCCAAAGUCAUGGUUAAGUGGGAAACGAUGUGGGAAGGCCCAGACAGCCAGGAUGUUGGCUUAGAAGCAGCCAUCAUUUAAAGAAAGCGUAAUAGCUCACUGGUCGAGUCGGCCUGCGCGGAAGAUGUAACGGGGCUAAACCAUGCACCGAAGCUGCGGCAGCGACGCUUAUGCGUUGUUGGGUAGGGGAGCGUUCUGUAAGCCUGUGAAGGUGUGCUGUGAGGCAUGCUGGAGGUAUCAGAAGUGCGAAUGCUGACAUAAGUAACGAUAAAGCGGGUGAAAAGCCCGCUCGCCGGAAGACCAAGGGUUCCUGUCCAACGUUAAUCGGGGCAGGGUGAGUCGACCCCUAAGGCGAGGCCGAAAGGCGUAGUCGAUGGGAAACAGGUUAAUAUUCCUGUACUUGGUGUUACUGCGAAGGGGGGACGGAGAAGGCUAUGUUGGCCGGGCGACGGUUGUCCCGGUUUAAGCGUGUAGGCUGGUUUUCCAGGCAAAUCCGGAAAAUCAAGGCUGAGGCGUGAUGACGAGGCACUACGGUGCUGAAGCAACAAAUGCCCUGCUUCCAGGAAAAGCCUCUAAGCAUCAGGUAACAUCAAAUCGUACCCCAAACCGACACAGGUGGUCAGGUAGAGAAUACCAAGGCGCUUGAGAGAACUCGGGUGAAGGAACUAGGCAAAAUGGUGCCGUAACUUCGGGAGAAGGCACGCUGAUAUGUAGGUGAAGUCCCUCGCGGAUGGAGCUGAAAUCAGUCGAAGAUACCAGCUGGCUGCAACUGUUUAUUAAAAACACAGCACUGUGCAAACACGAAAGUGGACGUAUACGGUGUGACGCCUGCCCGGUGCCGGAAGGUUAAUUGAUGGGGUCAGCGCAAGCGAAGCUCUUGAUCGAAGCCCCGGUAAACGGCGGCCGUAACUAUAACGGUCCUAAGGUAGCGAAAUUCCUUGUCGGGUAAGUUCCGACCUGCACGAAUGGCGUAAUGAUGGCCAGGCUGUCUCCACCCGAGACUCAGUGAAAUUGAACUCGCUGUGAAGAUGCAGUGUACCCGCGGCAAGACGGAAAGACCCCGUGAACCUUUACUAUAGCUUGACACUGAACAUUGAGCCUUGAUGUGUAGGAUAGGUGGGAGGCUUAGAAGUGUGGACGCCAGUCUGCAUGGAGCCGACCUUGAAAUACCACCCUUUAAUGUUUGAUGUUCUAACGUUGACCCGUAAUCCGGGUUGCGGACAGUGUCUGGUGGGUAGUUUGACUGGGGCGGUCUCCUCCUAAAGAGUAACGGAGGAGCACGAAGGUUGGCUAAUCCUGGUCGGACAUCAGG